RNAcentral lists this unclassified non-coding RNA (324 nucleotides) under plant metagenome. Its description in RNAcentral is "partial contains 5.8S ribosomal RNA, internal transcribed spacer 2, and large subunit ribosomal RNA". The stretch from base 1 to 105 matches the Rfam family "5.8S ribosomal RNA", at positions 50 to 154 of the family's 154-position model. The record is from RNAcentral.
GAAAUGCGAUACGUAAUGUGAAUUGCAGAAUUCAGUGAAUCAUCGAGUCUUUGAACGCACAUUGCGCCCCCUGGUAUUCCGGGGGGCAUGCCUGUCCGAGCGUCAUUGCUGCCCUCAAGCACGGCUUGUGUGUUGGGCCCCCGUCCCCCCCCCAAGGGGACGGGCCCGAAAGGCAGCGGCGGCACCGUGUCCGGUCCUCGAGCAUAUGGGAAGCAACUUUUUGUCACCCGCUCCUGUAGGUCCGGCCGGCGGCCUGCCCAACCCCAACCUUUUUUUCAACCAGGUUGACCUCGGAUCAGGUAGGGAUACCCGCUGAACUUAAGC